Molecule: ribosomal RNA, 446 nt
Filed under: uncultured bacterium
Lineage: Bacteria
Description: partial 16S ribosomal RNA
Rfam family: Bacterial small subunit ribosomal RNA
Source: RNAcentral
CCUACGGGGGGCAGCAGUAGGGAAUUUUCGGCAAUGGGGGGAACCCUGACCGAGCAACGCCGCGUGAACGAAGACGUUAUUCGUAAUGUAAAGUUCUUUUAACAGGGAAGAAAGAGAAAUUUGACGGUACCUGAAGAAUAAGCUCCGGCAAACUACGUGCCAGCAGCCGCGGUAAUACGUAGGGAGCGAGCGUUAUCCGGAAUUAUUGGGCGAAAAGGGUGCGUAGAUGGCAUAGUAAGUCUUUUGUAAAAAUGCUGGGCUCAACCCAGUAGGGCAAAAGAUACUGGAAAGCUAGAGUAUGACAGAGGCAAGUGGAACUACAUGUGUAGCGGUAAAAUGCGUAAAUAUAUGUAAGAACACCAGUGGCGAAGGCGGCUUGCUGGGUCGAUACUGACAUUGAGGCACGAAAGCGUGGGGAGCAAACAGGAUUAGAUACCCCAGUAGUC